RNAcentral lists this unclassified non-coding RNA (341 nucleotides) under soil metagenome. Its description in RNAcentral is "partial contains 5.8S ribosomal RNA, internal transcribed spacer 2, and large subunit ribosomal RNA". The stretch from base 1 to 120 matches the Rfam family "5.8S ribosomal RNA", at positions 35 to 154 of the family's 154-position model. The record is from RNAcentral.
GAUGAAGAACGCAGCGAAAUGCGAUAAGUAAUGUGAAUUGCAGAAUUCAGUGAAUCAUCGAAUCUUUGAACGCACAUUGCGCCCCCUGGUAUUCCGGGGGGCAUGCCUGUCCGAGCGUCAUUACAACCCUCAAGCAUAGCUUGGUGUUGGGCUUUUUUACGUCCUUGACUGGGAUGGGCCUAAAAAUUAGUGGCGAUGGCUUUUUUACUUUCAAGCGUAGUAAAUCUCGUCUUGCUAAAGAGGAAAAAGAUUUUUUUUCUGCCAAAAAUUUUAACAUUUAAAGUUGACCUCGGAUCAGGUAGGAUUACCCGCUGAACUUAAGCAUAUCAAUAAGCGGAGGA